Molecule: unclassified non-coding RNA, 247 nt
Filed under: Hevea brasiliensis (rubber tree)
Lineage: Eukaryota; Viridiplantae; Streptophyta; Magnoliopsida; Malpighiales; Euphorbiaceae
Source: RNAcentral
UGCGCCGUACUGGAAUGCUCGAUACAUGCCGCCGAAACGCUCAAUGACCGUUUCCUCGCCAUAACCCGCGAUCUCGAACGCCUUCACCAUCGCCUGCGGGCGAUGGUUGCGGAUGCCGCCCGACGCAAUCUCGUAACCGUUGCAGGCGAUGUCGUACUGGAACGCCUUGAUCGUGAGCGGGUCCUGCGUCUCCAGCGCUUCGAGGCCGCCCUGCGGCAUCGAGAACGGGUUGUGCGAGAAGUCGACC